This 2605-nucleotide unclassified non-coding RNA is filed under the name Dimorphilus gyrociliatus. RNAcentral's name for it is "dgyrCDS14262". The record is from RNAcentral. Lineage: Eukaryota; Metazoa; Annelida; Polychaeta; Dinophilidae.
AGAUUAUUGAAGGUUUACAUUUUAUUUUAAAUAAUCAAUUUGUUUGAAUAGUUUAUUAUGUUUCGCUAAUGAAACUGAAAGAAUCGAAGUUUUUUUAAAAUUGAUUUCGUCACUGUUUAACAAUAUUCGCCACUUUACCUUUUUAUAGGCUCAUGUGGAUUCUAUAUGUCAGCGAAGGUAGUUAAAUUUUAAUUAUACUAAUAUAAAAUUGUACUGGAAGAAACAAAUCUUCUCUCUCUCUCUCUCUCUCUCUCUCUCUCUCUCUGUCUAUUUAUCCAAUGCAUCAUCCAUCCAUCUAUCCUUCUUUCUUUCUUCAUCUCUCUUUCAUUUUCGCUCUUCUCCAUCCCUCCAUCUUUCCUCCCCUUACCUUCUAAAACACUUUCAAAACCUAUCAUUAAAAUUGCAAGUCAUCUAUUUCCUUUUCUCUACUAGAAGAAUUUUUUAUGCUAAUAACCUACUAGUUUGUAGAAGAAAGAAAGAAAUAUAAAAAAUAGCAUUGGCGCCGAUGAAUGAACGAUUUCAGUCAUCAACAGACCACAGAUGAUUAAAUUGAUUUUAUAAGAAAAGUUAAGUAGUAUAUUAUUGAAUAAAUGAAUGUAAUGGCACAUGUAAAAGUGUGUUUUUUAUUACUUCUUUUGAAUAAACAAAAUAUGACCCAUUUUAUUAGGGAAAAGAAUUUUCCGUAGUUGAGGGAUAAUGAUAUGUAAAUGUCUAUAAAAAGCUUUUCGAUCGCGCGCAUUUUGGCUGAAAGCAGCGAUGAAUGCGAACGAAGUAAUUCGUAAAUUUCAAGAAUAUGACAAGGAUAAAAACGGCUACGUUUCGGUUGGUGAAGCUCAACAGAUUUUAGAAAAAGAAUUAGGGUUUACUCCAGAGAGCACUAGAAAAUUAGUAGAGCAAUACGACACUAAUGACGAUGGUCGUCUCUCUUAUGAAGAAUUUAUUUGGUUCUAUUGGCGUGUUCACGAAAAAAAGAACGAUCUAAUCGAAAAAUUUCAAUUAAUGGACAAAGAUGGCUCCCAAAGUAUAAGUUUUGAUGAGGCAAAAGACGUUCUCAAAGAUUAUAAUUUCUCUGACGAUGAUAUAAGAAAUCUCUUCAAUUUACACGAUACAAACAAGGAUGGUGUUUUACAAUUUGACGAAUUUCUAAGAUUUUGGCAAAAUGUUGAAAAGAAAUGAAAUUAAAAAAACAAAUUAAUAUAAAAAAGGAGCACGAAUGCACAAAAACUGUAUCAUUUUCUUUUUAUUUUAUUACUCAUUUCCAGUAUUUCUUUGAACUCCUGCUUCUCUCCUUUUUUCAUUCUUUUUAUCAGUCUUAACGAUUUCUUUUUUCCUCUCUUAUAGUUUUUAUAUACAGUUUACGUAUUAGUCUAUUUCUUAGUCUAUGGCACUGUUCAACUCUUAAGCACGCAUUCGCACGCAAACACACGGGAAUAGAUGAUUCGUGUUGAAAACAUUAAGGAGAGAAUCUUUUAUCACUUUUAUCAACUUUUUUCUUUAUCUUUUCUUCUUCCUUAGACUUUAACGCAAGUUUUGUUCUACUCAUAAUCGUUAUGAUAACUAUUCCCAUAAUAAUAAUAACUUCAUUUAUUUAAUAUUUAAGGUGACCUCAUUCGGCAAUCGACGGAAAUUAAUUAAUUAAUGCCAAUUAAAAAUUCAUUUAUUCCUUUCCUCUAUAAUUUACUUCUUUUCUAAUUAUUUUCCUUAUUUUUUAAAGGAAGCCAAUUGACUAUUUCAUUCAAAUGUUUAAAAUACAAUUCUAAUAAGCGUCGGAAGACGUGGAUUAGUUUUCAAUUAUCUUUAUCCGAACUAGGUGGAGUAACAGUUUACGAUUUUUAUACUUUUCUUCUUUCUCUUUUGGAUCUCUUUUAAACCCGCUUCAGACGAGAUGCGCCAUCUACCGAUUCUUAUUCGUACUACUUUAAACACUUUUGGAAAUUCUACAAAGUUGUUUUACAGAGAUAUUUGUUUGAUUGGGGAAAAAGACAAAAGUAAAGUUUACUGAUUUAGCAACGGGAUCGUCGGAGGAGAGAAGGAGAAGGAAGAAAAAGAGUAAAAAGAAUAUUUGUGAAAAGUUUGAGGCAAAAGCUGCGAAGAAACACAGUAUACUCGUUUCACGUAUACAAAUCGCUGUUAAAAUAACAAACUCUUAACAGUUAAGAAAUCAGUGCUGGGAUCUGUAAAGCAAACAUCUCCAUAGCCAUAGCUAGUUGAAAUAAUUGCAAGUCCUUGCAACUUUUCUAUUCAUUGCUAAGAUAAGGAAAAAUGUCAGAUUGGAGACAGUUUUAUUAAGGGAUUUAUUUAUAGGUCAUUCGAGUACCACAUGAAGUUGAUCGAAAGUAUAUAUUUGUUACAAAUAUUUACUAAAUUUCUCACUUGAUCACGUGAUAUUUUUAAGAUUUAUAUAAUUCGAUUUACCUGGUGUACAGUUCUACGCCUUGUUGACCUAACUCCAAUAUUCAAACAUUUAUUAUUGACAUCAUAAGCGAUAUGUACAAAGUUAAAUUGCAAUUUCUUUCUUCUUUAGCAAAAAACCACUUUUAAUAAAUGUUUUUCAUCUUUUCAACUUUUCCUUUACCCCAUAAAGAUGAAAUAAGAAACAUUUUUU